AUUGAACGCUGGCGGCAUGCCUUACACAUGCAAGUCGAACGGUAACAGGGAGCUUGCUCCGCUGACGAGUGGCGAACGGGUGAGUAAUGUAUCGGAACGUACCUUUUAGUGGGGGAUAACGUAGCGAAAGUUACGCUAAUACCGCAUAUUCUCUGAGGAGGAAAGCAGGGGACCUUCGGGCCUUGCGCUAAUAGAGCGGCUGAUAUCAGAUUAGCUAGUUGGUGAGGUAAAGGCUCACCAAGGCGACGAUCUGUAGCGGGUCUGAGAGGAUGAUCCGCCACACUGGAACUGAGACACGGUCCAGACUCCUACGGGAGGCAGCAGUGGGGAAUUGUGGACAAUGGGGGCAACCCUGAUCCAGCCAUGCCGCGUGAGUGAAGAAGGCCUUCGGGUUGUAAAGCUCUUUCGGCCGGGAAAAAAUCGCAUGGGUUAAUACCCUGUGUGGAUGAUGGUGCCGGAAUAAGAAGCACCGGCUAACUACGUGCCAGCCGCCGCGGUAA
Molecule: ribosomal RNA, 500 nt
Filed under: uncultured bacterium
Lineage: Bacteria
Description: partial 16S ribosomal RNA
Rfam family: Bacterial small subunit ribosomal RNA
Source: RNAcentral